UACGUAGGGGGCAAGCGUUGUCCGGAAUCAUUGGGCGUAAAGAGCGUGUAGGCGGCCCGGUAAGUCCGCUGUGAAAGUCCAGGGCUCAACCCUGGGAUGCCGGUGGAUACUGUCGGGCUCGAGUCCGGAAGAGGAGUGUGGAAUUCCUGGUGUAGCGGUGGAAUGCGCAGAUAUCAGGAGGAACACCGGUGGCGAAGGCGGGUCUCUGGGCAGUAACUGACGCUGAGGCGCGAAAGCUAGGGGAGCAAACGGG
RNAcentral lists this ribosomal RNA (253 nucleotides) under uncultured bacterium. Its description in RNAcentral is "partial 16S ribosomal RNA". It matches the Rfam family "Bacterial small subunit ribosomal RNA", at positions 524 to 776 of the family's 1533-position model. The record is from RNAcentral.